GCGGGGAUCUUACUAGGUCCGGACCGAUUCUAUGAUCGUCGUACUGUGGGGUGCUACGUGAUUACUGGAUGAGUGGUGCAUGGCCGUUCUUAGUUCGUGGUGUUAAUUGUCUACUUAAUUGUCCGUAGUUUAAUACAUGUAUUGAACUAUGAACGAACGAGAUCGAGACCCGUGGUUGCGUGUGUUUGAAUUCGGUAUUACUACGGGGAUCGCGUAUUACUCCACGGUACGAUCGAAAGACUCGGCAAUAACAGGUCUGUGAUGCCCUCAGAUGUUCUAGGCUGCACACGUGCUACAGUGUGG
RNAcentral lists this ribosomal RNA (303 nucleotides) under Amphistegina lobifera. RNAcentral describes it as "SSU rRNA". It matches the Rfam family "Eukaryotic small subunit ribosomal RNA", at positions 1205 to 1508 of the family's 1831-position model. Lineage: Eukaryota; Foraminifera; Rotaliida; Amphisteginidae. The record is from RNAcentral.